RNAcentral lists this ribosomal RNA (291 nucleotides) under uncultured bacterium. RNAcentral describes it as "partial 16S ribosomal RNA". It matches the Rfam family "Bacterial small subunit ribosomal RNA", at positions 505 to 796 of the family's 1533-position model. The record is from RNAcentral.
GUGCCAGCCGCCGCGGUAAUACGUAGGUGGCGAGCGUUAUCCGGAAUCAUUGGGCGUAAAGAGGGAGCAGGCGGCCGCAAGGGUCUGUGGUGAAAGACCGAAGCUAAACUUCGGUAAGCCAUGGAAACCGGGCGGCUAGAGUGCGGAAGAGGAUCGUGGAAUUCCAUGUGUAGCGGUGAAAUGCGUAGAUAUAUGGAGGAACACCAGUGGCGAAGGCGACGGUCUGGGCCGCAACUGACGCUCAUUCCCGAAAGCGUGGGGAGCAAAUAGGAUUAGAAACCCCUGUAGUCC